UGGGGAAUCUUGCCCAAUGGGCGCAAGCCUGAGGCAGCGACGCCGCGUGAGGGAUGACGGCCUUCGGGUUGUAAACCUCUUUCAGCAGGGACGAAGCGAAAGUGACGGUACCUGCAGAAGAAGCACCGGCUAACUACGUGCCAGCAGCCGCGGUAAUACGUAGGGUGCAAGCGUUGUCCGGAAUUAUUGGGCGUAAAGAGCUCGUAGGCGGCCUGUCGCGUCUGCUGUGAAAACCCGGAGCUUAACUCCGGGCCUGCAGUGGAUACGGGCAGGCUAGAGCGCGGUAGGGGAGACUGGAAUUCCUGGUGUAGCGGUGGAAUGCGCAGAUAUCAGGAGGAACACCGGUGGCGAAGGCGGGUCUCUGGGCCGUUGCUGACGCUGAGGAGCGAAAGCGUGGGGAGCGAA
This 405-nucleotide ribosomal RNA is filed under the name uncultured bacterium. Its description in RNAcentral is "bacterial SSU rRNA". It matches the Rfam family "Bacterial small subunit ribosomal RNA", at positions 355 to 772 of the family's 1533-position model. The record is from RNAcentral.